UACGAAGGGGGCUAGCGUUGUUCGGAAUUACUGGGCGUAAAGCGCGCGUAGGCGGACAUUUAAGUCAGGGGUGAAAUGCCGGGGCUCAACCUCGGAACUGCCUUUGAUACUGGGUGUCUGGAGUUCGGGAGAGGUGAGUGGAACUGCGAGUGUAGAGGUGAAAUUCGUAGAUAUUCGCAAGAACACCAGUGGCGAAGGCGCUCACUGGCCCGAUACUGACGCUGAGGCACGAAAGCGUGGGGAGCAAACAGG
This 252-nucleotide ribosomal RNA is filed under the name uncultured bacterium. RNAcentral's name for it is "partial 16S ribosomal RNA". It matches the Rfam family "Bacterial small subunit ribosomal RNA", at positions 524 to 776 of the family's 1533-position model. The record is from RNAcentral.